Molecule: long non-coding RNA, 1438 nt
Organism: Dicentrarchus labrax (European seabass)
Lineage: Eukaryota; Metazoa; Chordata; Actinopteri; Moronidae
Exons: 4
Source: RefSeq, a predicted model, not a curated record
GUUAAAGUUUCUAUAACAGUAAACUAAAGAUAGGUUAAAGUUUCUGUAACAGUAAACUACAGAUAGGUUAAAGUUUCUAUAACAGUAAACUAAAGAUAGGUUAAAGUUUCUAUAACAGUAAACUACAGAUAGGUUAAAGUUUCUAUAACAGUAAACUACAGAUAGGUUAAAGUUUCUGUAACAGGAAACUAAAGAUAGGUUAAAGUUUCUAUAACAGUAAACUACAGAUAGGUUAAAGUUUCUAUAACAGUAAACUAAAGAUAGGUUAAAGUUUCUAUAACAGUAAACUACAGAUAGGUUAAAGUUUCUAUAACAGUAAACUAAAGAUAGGUUAAAGUUUCUAUAACAGUAAACUAAAGAUAGGUUAAAGUUUCUAUAACAGUAAACUAAAGAUAGGUUAAAGUUUCUGUAACAGUAAACUACAGAUAGGAUAAAGUUUCUGUAACAGUAAACUAAAGAUAGGAUAAAGUUUCUGUAACAGUAAACUAAAGAUAGGUUAAAGUUUCUGUAACAGUAAACUACAGAUAGGUUAAAGUUUCUGUAACAAACUACAGAUAGGUUAAAGUUUCUGUAACAGUAAACUAAAGAUAGGUUAAAGUUUCUGUAACAAACUACAGAUAGGUUAAAGUUUCUGUAACAGUAAACUCUGUGAUAUCUAUUUAUUUAUUUAUACGGCAUUUUAAAGGAAUUUAUACGGAAUAAAGUCGUAAUGAGCACAUAGUGUUCACAUGGUAUUUUCUUACGGUAAAAACAUUAAUUCAGUAAUAAAAUAAUAUAAUAUAUAAUACAGUAACAGUAGAAAAGGUUCUUCCGUAUUUAUUCGGUAAAGUUUUGCCACAGCUGCCAUUUUUUAACCGUAAAUUUAAGACUUUUUUUACAGUGUAGUUUGAGCAGACAAAAAUCUAUUCUGUUCAAUAAAAGUAUCUGAGUGAUAAUAACCUUGUCCUCACUUAUAAAUGAUCAGAUUGAUUUAUUGAUCACUGAUUGAUUUUUGUUUGCUCUAUUUAAGCGUUCUUUGCGUCAUAAUAAUUUCAUCACAAACUGUAAUUUAUGUGCUUUUGUGUUGUUUGUGGGGAAGAUUGUUUAUUGUUCAGUUGCUCUGCUGUUAUUGAUAUAUAUAUGAUAUAUUGAUCUAUAGAAUAUAGAAUAUAAAACAGUCACUGAUAGAAAAAGGCUCCUUUAGGGAACAGGUUGGGAACCACUGAAGAGGGCAUCCACACACUUUCGACCGUAUUGUGUUUAGUCAUCUGGCCGACUGAGUAAUCGCUGAUUGAAUAAACCCCGCCCCCUCCCUGGCAGGGCGGGCUCCAUGUUGCAGUGGGCGGGGCCUCUACUGACCAAUGGCAAAGGGCAAAGCAUCAAGCAGGAAACAGGAAGCAGCGGCGGCAUCUUACCAGUGUUCUUUCAGACACACGUCACGGUUACCGCAGCAACACUA